This 206-nucleotide ribosomal RNA is filed under the name uncultured bacterium. RNAcentral's name for it is "partial 16S ribosomal RNA". It matches the Rfam family "Bacterial small subunit ribosomal RNA", at positions 568 to 774 of the family's 1533-position model. The record is from RNAcentral.
AGCGUAGGCGGUCAAGCAAGUCAGGGGUGAAAGGCAUCGGCUCAACCGAUGUAAGCCUUUGAAACUGUUUGACUUGAGUGCAGGAGAGGAAAGUGGAAUUCCUAGUGUAGCGGUGAAAUGCGUAGAUAUUAGGAGGAACACCAGUGGCGAAGGCGACUUUCUAGACUGUAACUGACGCUGAGGCUCGAAAGCGUGGGGAGCGAACA